Oxyura jamaicensis (ruddy duck) is the source of this 189-nucleotide long non-coding RNA. RefSeq lists it as uncharacterized. The transcript has 3 exons. The record is from RefSeq and is a predicted model, not a curated record. NCBI's taxonomy places the organism in Eukaryota, Metazoa, Chordata, Aves, Anseriformes, Anatidae.
AGGAUGCUUUCACAGAAUCACAGAAAUGUAGGGGUUUGAAGGGAUCUCGAAAGAUCAUCGGAUCUGACCCCCCUGCCAAAGCAGGUUCCUCAGAGCAGGCUGCCCAGGUAGGCGUCCAGACGGGCCUCGAAUAUCUCCAGAGAAGGAGACUCCACAGCCUCUCUAGGCAGCCUGUUCUAGUGCUCUGUC